This 497-nucleotide ribosomal RNA is filed under the name uncultured bacterium. RNAcentral describes it as "partial 16S ribosomal RNA". It matches the Rfam family "Bacterial small subunit ribosomal RNA", at positions 28 to 507 of the family's 1533-position model. The record is from RNAcentral.
GAUGAACGCUGGCGGCGUGCCUAAUACAUGCAAGUCGAGCGAACGGACGAGAAGCUUGCUUCUCUGAUGUUAGCGGCGGACGGGUGAGUAACACGUGGAUAACCUACCUAUAAGACUGGGAUAACUUCGGGAAACCGUAGCUAAUACCGGAUAAUAUUUUGAACCGCAUGGUUCAAAAGUGAAAGACGGUCUUGCUGUCACUUAUAGAUGGAUCCGCGCUGCAUUAGCUAGUUGGUAAGGUAACGGCUUACCAAGGCAACGAUGCAUAGCCGACCUGAGAGGGUGAUCGGCCACACUGGAACUGAGACACGUUCCAGACUCCUACGGGAGGCAGCAGUAGGGAAUCUUCCGCAAUGGGCGAAAGCCUGACGGAGCAACGCCGCGUGAGUGAUGAAGGUCUUCGGAUCGUAAAACUCUGUUAUUAGGGAAGAACAUAUGUGUAAGUAACUGUGCACAUCUUGACGGUACCUAAUCAGAAAGCCACGGCUAAGUACGUG